UAGUCAUAUGCUUGUCUCAAAGAUUAAGCCAUGCAUGUCUAAGCACAAGCCGAUUAAUGGUGAAGCCGCGAAUGGCUCAUUACAACAGCCAUAGUUUCUUAGAUCUUACUUUUCUACUUGGAUAACUGUGGUAAUUCUAGAGCUAAUACACGCAAACAAGCUCAGACCUUACGGAAUGAGCGCAUUUAUUAGAACAAAAACCAAUCGGGCUUCGGUCCGUCAUUUGGUGAAUCUGAAUAACUUUGCUGAUCGCACGGUCUUCGUACCGGCGGCAUAUCUUUCAAAUGUCUGCCUUAUCAACUUUCGAUGGUAGUUUAUGCGCCUACCAUGGUUGUAACGGGUAACGGAGAAUAAGGGUUCGACUCCGGAGAGGGAGCCUGAGAAACGGCUACCACAUCCAAGGAAGGCAGCAGGCACGCAAAUUACCCACUCCCGGCACGGGGAGGUAGUGACGAAAAAUAACGAGACGGCUCGCUAUGCGGUCCGUCAUCGGAAUGGGUACAAUUUAAAUCCUUUAACGAGGAUCUAUU
Molecule: ribosomal RNA, 530 nt
Filed under: uncultured eukaryote
Lineage: Eukaryota
Description: SSU rRNA
Rfam family: Eukaryotic small subunit ribosomal RNA
Source: RNAcentral